Molecule: ribosomal RNA, 483 nt
Filed under: uncultured bacterium
Lineage: Bacteria
Description: bacterial SSU rRNA
Rfam family: Bacterial small subunit ribosomal RNA
Source: RNAcentral
AUGAAACACUCCUACGGGAGGCAGCAGUGGGGAAUAUUGCGCAAUGGGGGCAACCCUGACGCAGCCAUGCCGCGUGAAUGAAGAGGGCCUUCGGGUUGUAAAGUUCUUUCGGUAGCGAGGAAGGCAUUUAGUUUAAUAGACUAGGUGAUUGACGUUAACUACAGAAGAAGCACCGGCUAACUCCGUGCCAGCAGCCGCGGUAAUACGGAGGGUGCAAGCGUUAAUCGGAAUAACUGGGCGUAAAGGGCACGCAGGCGGUGACUUAAGUGAGGUGUGAAAGCCCCGGGCUUAACCUGGGAAUUGCAUUUCAUACUGGGUCGCUAGAGUACUUUAGGGAGGGGUAGAAUUCCACGUGUAGCGGUGAAAUGCGUAGAGAUGUGGAGGAAUACCGAAGGCGAAGGCAGCCCCUUGGGAAUGUACUGACGCUCAUGUGCGAAAGCGUGGGGAGCAAACAGGAUUAGAAACCCCAGUAGUCCGAAGUUC